AGGGAAUCUUCGGCAAUGGACGAAAGUCUGACCGAGCAACGCCGCGUGAGUGAAGAAGGCCUUCGGGUCGUAAAACUCUGUUGCCAGAGAAGAAGAGCAGCCAGGGUAACUACUGGCUGUGUGACGGUAUCUGAGAAGAAAGCCCCGGCUAACUACGUGCCAGCAGCCGCGGUAAUACGUAGGGGGCAAGCGUUGUCCGGAAUUAUUGGGCGUAAAGCGCGCGCAGGCGGUUGGGUAAGUCCGAUGUAUAACCUUGUGGCUCAACCAUAAGUGGCAUUGGAAACUGCCGGACUUGAGUGCAGGAGAGGAAAGCGGAAUUCCACGUGUAGCGGUGAAAUGCGUAGAGAUGUGGAGGAACACCAGUGGCGAAGGCGGCUUUCUGGCAUGUAACUGACGCUGAGGCGCGAAAGCGUGGGGAGCAAAC
RNAcentral lists this ribosomal RNA (424 nucleotides) under uncultured bacterium. Its description in RNAcentral is "bacterial SSU rRNA". It matches the Rfam family "Bacterial small subunit ribosomal RNA", at positions 356 to 773 of the family's 1533-position model. The record is from RNAcentral.